RNAcentral lists this ribosomal RNA (464 nucleotides) under bacterium Fw70-2. RNAcentral describes it as "bacterial SSU rRNA". It matches the Rfam family "Bacterial small subunit ribosomal RNA", at positions 28 to 504 of the family's 1533-position model. The record is from RNAcentral.
GACGAACGCUGGCGGCGUGCUUAACACAUGCAAGUCGAACGAUGAAGCUGGAGCUUGCUCCGGUGGAUUAGUGGCGAACGGGUGAGUAACACGUGAGCAAUCUGCCCUUGACUCUGGGAUAACUGCGGGAAACUGUAGCUAAUACCGGAUAUUUUCCCUGGUGGGCAUCCACUGGGGAAGAAAGAAUUUCGGUCAAGGAUGAGCUCGCGGCCUAUCAGCUAGUUGGUGAGGUAAUGGCUCACCAAGGCGACGACGGGUAGCCGGCCUGAGAGGGUGACCGGCCACACUGGAACUGAGACACGGUCCAGACUCCUACGGGAGGCAGCAGUGGGGAAUAUUGCACAAUGGGCGAAAGCCUGAUGCAGCAACGCCGCGUGAGGGACGAAGGCCUUCGGGUUGUAAACCUCUUUUAGCAGGGAAGAAGCGAAAGUGACGGUACCUGCAGAAAAAGCACGGCAACUCCU